GUAGUCGUCGCCGAGUGGUUAUGUCGAUGGACUACAAAUCUUUUGGGAUCUUCCCGCGCAGGUUCGAAUCCUGCCGACAUCG
Molecule: transfer RNA, 82 nt
Filed under: Dreissena polymorpha
Lineage: Eukaryota; Metazoa; Mollusca; Bivalvia; Myida; Dreissenidae
Rfam family: tRNA
About the family: Transfer RNA (tRNA) molecules are approximately 80 nucleotides in length. Their secondary structure includes four short double-helical elements and three loops (D, anti-codon, and T loops). Further hydrogen bonds mediate the characteristic L-shaped molecular structure. tRNAs have two regions of fundamental functional importance: the anti-codon, which is responsible for specific mRNA codon recognition, and the 3' end, to which the tRNAs corresponding amino acid is attached (by aminoacyl-tRNA synthetases). tRNAs cope with the degeneracy of the genetic code in two manners: having more than one tRNA (with a specific anti-codon) for a particular amino acid; and 'wobble' base-pairing, i.e. permitting non-standard base-pairing at the 3rd anti-codon position.
Source: Rfam by way of RNAcentral